Molecule: ribosomal RNA, 441 nt
Filed under: uncultured bacterium
Lineage: Bacteria
Description: partial 16S ribosomal RNA
Rfam family: Bacterial small subunit ribosomal RNA
Source: RNAcentral
CUACGGGUGGCUCCAGUCAAGAAUCUUCCCCAAUGCACGAAAGUGUGAGGGAGCGACGCCGCGUGCAGGAUGAAGGCCUUCGGGUUGUAAACUGCUUUUCUCAAGGAAGAAUUUCUGACGGUACUUGAGGAAUAAGAGGUUGCUAACUCUGUGCCAGCAGCAGCGGUAAUACAGAGACCUCAAGCGUUAUCCGGAUUUAUUGGGCGUAAAGCGUCCGCAGACGGUUUAUCAAGUCAAUGGUCAAAUCUUAGGGCUUAACUCUGAGACGGCCGUUGAAACUAAUAAACUCGAGGCCGGAAAAGGCUAGUGGAAUUGUCGGUGUAGGGGUAAAAUCCGUUAAUAUCGGCAAGAACACCAAAAGCGAAGGCAACUAGCUAGAACGGUCCUGACGUUCAGGGACGAAAGCGUGGGUAGCGAAUGGGAUUAGAUACCCCCGUAGUC